Panicum virgatum (switchgrass) is the source of this 358-nucleotide long non-coding RNA. RefSeq lists it as uncharacterized. The transcript has 3 exons. The record is from RefSeq and is a predicted model, not a curated record. Lineage: Eukaryota; Viridiplantae; Streptophyta; Magnoliopsida; Poales; Poaceae.
UUUUAGAUGAGGCAACUAAUGUCGUACCACAAGCUGAUGGUCACAACAAUCUAGGCACCAAAGAUUGUAAUGAUGAGCUUCAUGAGAACACCAUGGCUGAAAUAGCUGAUGCAAAUACCCAACCAGCUGGCGACACCCUGAUGACUAAUGAAGGAGAGGAUCGAUGGAACCGAGGAGUUAAUAUGGGGCAUGGUCUGCAAAGGAUGAACCGGUCUCGUCGUGGCAAGCUACCAAUUAUCAAACCUGAAGGGUAUAUCAGGCCUGUGGUGCCUGAUAUUGCUUCAAAGUAUGCAACUGAAUGCAACAUAACUGUUAGGAACCAUGUGCCUGUGCUCAAGCACUGGAAGGAAUACAAGAA